Molecule: small nuclear RNA, 162 nt
Organism: Suncus etruscus (white-toothed pygmy shrew)
Lineage: Eukaryota; Metazoa; Chordata; Mammalia; Eulipotyphla; Soricidae
Product: U1 spliceosomal RNA
Exons: 1
Source: RefSeq, a predicted model, not a curated record
AUACAUACCUGACGGGAGAUACCAUGAUCACGAAGGUGGUUUCCCCAGGACGAGACUCUCCCAUUGCACUCCGGGUGUGCUGACCCCUGUGAUUUCCCCAAAUGUGGGAGACUCGGUUGCAUAAUUUGUGGUAGUGGGGGACUGCGUUCACACUCUCCCCUG